CCUACGGGAGGCAGCAGUGGGGAAUAUUGGACAAUGGGGGGAACCCUGAUCCAGCCAUGCCGCGUGUGUGAAGGAGGCCCUCGGGUUGUAAAGCACUUUCAGUGAGGAAGAACGCCUGGUGGUUAAUACCCAUCAGGAAAGACAUCACUCACAGAAGAAGCACCGGCUAACUCCGUGCCAGCAGCCGCGGUAAUACGGAGGGUGCGAGCGUUAAUCGGAAUUACUGGGCGUAAAGCGCGCGUAGGUGGCUUGAUAAGCCGGUUGUGAAAGCCCCGGGCUCAACCUGGGAACGGCAUCCGGAACUGUCAAGCUAGAGUGCAGGAGAGGAAGGUAGAAUUCCCGGUGUAGCGGUGAAAUGCGUAGAGAUCGGGAGGAAUACCAGUGGCGAAGGCGGCCUUCUGGACUGACACUGACACUGAGGUGCGAAAGCGUGGGUAGCAAACAGGAUUAGAUACCCGUGUAGUC
This 465-nucleotide ribosomal RNA is filed under the name Vreelandella stevensii. RNAcentral describes it as "partial 16S ribosomal RNA". It matches the Rfam family "Bacterial small subunit ribosomal RNA", at positions 338 to 795 of the family's 1533-position model. Lineage: Bacteria; Pseudomonadati; Pseudomonadota; Gammaproteobacteria; Oceanospirillales; Halomonadaceae. The record is from RNAcentral.